GUGAAUAGCAGCUGCCUGCGCCUCCUCGUUUGACAGCCGUACCUCUGCUGCAGAGACCAGAAAUGUACGUCCCUGAACACCGGCCUGGCAAGAGUAGAUGGUUUUCUGCUGCGUGGCUGAGCUGAUGGGCACAGAAGAGGAAGCAGAACGGCGUGGCUGGCAGCGGAGGCAGGGCAAGGAGUGAACCCUCAGCCUUUCAUCUGCAAGGACAGCGUUGGGUGACUUCACUCCCAUGAUACAGAAAAUGUCGCUGUCCUGACCAGUAGCCAUGAAGAGAAGGGAGUGAAGCAAAUUUGUCUGGAGAAGUAGGAAGUUUUGAAAUUUUCAGCAGGAUUUAUUGCCAGUAGCUGCAGAAGGUUUUGCAAAGCCAACCCUUGGCAUUAGAAUGGAUGAAACAGCUCAAACUUAAGCGGAACAACACCAGCCUUUGUUCCUGCUCUUUGGCUUGGCACUUAGAGCAGGGAAGGAACAUAAAACACUGGCGCUGAAGCGGAGCCCGCUGUGAUUGAUGUACACUGGAGAUAAAGCCAGGUACCUGCAGGAGACAGGGAGGGGCUACUGCCUUACAUGUAUUUUUAAUAUAAUA
Molecule: long non-coding RNA, 586 nt
Filed under: Calidris pugnax (ruff)
Lineage: Eukaryota; Metazoa; Chordata; Aves; Charadriiformes; Scolopacidae
Description: lncRNA (ENSCPUG00000014795.1)
Source: RNAcentral